AGUAAACGGCGGCCGUAACUAUAACGGUCCUAAGGUAGCGAAAUUCCUUGUCGGGUAAGUUCCGACCCGCACGAAUGGUGUAACGAUCUGGGCACUGUCUCAACUACCCACCCGGCGAAAUUGUAGUACCGGUGAAGAUGCCGGUUACCUGCGGCAAGACGGAAAGACCCCAUGGAGCUUUACUGUAGCCUGAUAUUGGGUUUCGGAAAUCUAUGUACAGGAUAGGCGGGAGACUAGGAAACAUGAGCGUCAGCUUGUGUGGAGUCGAUGUUGGGAUACCGCCCUUAGGUUUCUGGAAUUCUAACCUGCGGCCGUGAAUCCGGUCGGGGGACAUUGUCAGGUGGGCAGUUUGACUGGGGCGGUCGCCUCCGAAAAGGUAACGGAGGCGCUCAAAGGUUAGCUCAGCACGGACGGAAACCGUGCCUCUGAGUGUAAACGCAAAAGCUAGCCUAACUGCGAGGGUGACGGCCCGAGCAGUAACGAAAGUUGGAGUUAGUGAUCCGGCGGUAUGUGAAUGGAAAUGCCGUCGCUCAACGGAUAAAAGCUACCCUGGGGAUAACAGGCUGAUCUCCCCCAAGAGUCCACAUCGACGGGGAGGUUUGGCACCUCGAUGUCGGCUCAUCGCAUCCUGGGGCUGUAUUCGGUCCCAAGGGUUUGGCUGUUCGCCAAUUAAAGCGGUACGCGAGCUGGGUUCAGAACGUCGUGAGACAGUUCGGUCCCUAUCUGUCGUGGGCGCAGGAUAUUUGAGGAGCUCUGUCCUUAGUACGAGAGGACCGGGAUGGACGUACCUCUGGUGCACCAGUUGUCAUGCCAAUGGCACGGCUGGGCAGCUAUGUACGGAACGGAUAAACGCUGAAAGCAUCUAAGCGUGAAGCCGACUCCAAGAUUAGAUAUCCCAUCGUAUAACGAGUAAGACCCCUUGAAGACUACGAGGUUGAUAGGCUGCGUGUGUAAGUGCCGUGAGGCAUUCAGCUUGGCAGUACUAAUAGGUCGAGGGCUUGACCAC
Molecule: ribosomal RNA, 1006 nt
Filed under: human metagenome
Description: bacterial LSU rRNA
Rfam family: Bacterial large subunit ribosomal RNA
Source: RNAcentral